RNAcentral lists this ribosomal RNA (264 nucleotides) under uncultured archaeon. RNAcentral describes it as "partial 16S ribosomal RNA". It matches the Rfam family "Archaeal small subunit ribosomal RNA", at positions 717 to 982 of the family's 1478-position model. The record is from RNAcentral.
ACACGACUACAUUAGAUACCCGCGUAGUCCUAGGCGUAAAUGAUGCGAGUUAAGUGUGGGGGCAUCUACGAGAUGGCCCUGUGCUGUAGGGUAGCCGUUAAACUCGCUGCCUGGGAGUACGGUCGCAAGGCUGAAACUUAAAGGAAUUGGCGGGGAGCACCACAACAGGUGGAGCCUGCGGUUUAAUUGGAUUCAACGCCGGACAUCUACACCGGAUAAGACAGCUGAAUGAUUGUCAAUCUGAAGGUUUUACAUGACUAGCUG